RNAcentral lists this long non-coding RNA (7037 nucleotides) under Heterocephalus glaber (naked mole-rat). Its description in RNAcentral is "lncRNA (ENSHGLG00000030065.2)". Lineage: Eukaryota; Metazoa; Chordata; Mammalia; Rodentia; Bathyergidae. The record is from RNAcentral.
CACAAAGUGUAAACAUGGACCAAAGGAGAAGCCCUUUGGAGAAGAAGACGCCAAAGGGAAAGGGAAAAGUUCAGAAGGGCAGAAAGCAUUCAACUCUGCAACACUGUCAUCAUAUUCCACUUAUCAAAAAGUGAAUCCUGAGGACUGAAAUAAUUUGCAGAUGUGGUGGAGGAGCCGUUGCCAGCAACUCUGAGACCUGGGAAGAGGCUGGAGACUCCAGGCAGCCAAGGGAGAGGCUUCCUAAAGUCGAUGCGAGAGCCUGGCAGGCUGACUGGUGGAAUAGUUCUCAGUGGAUGCGGACCUCGGAAAGAUAUCGGGGCUCAUCUGAGAGCGAGAAGUCUUCAUUCUCCCAGGUCUGCGUUUCCUUCCAGCCCCUCAUGCAACUCACAUAAAAAUAGGGGCUCGGAGAGAUUCGAUCCUGCGCACCAUACAGCGAGUGGCCUGAUGUUACCCAUGACUGAAUUGCAUCUGCAGAAAGCAAGUUUGGACAUCUAAAAAGGGCCAUUUGGGGCGGGGGAUUUGGCUCAGUGGUUCCCCCACAGCCUGCCUCCCAAGCAUGAGGUCCAGAGUUCGAUCCCCGGUACCAAAAAAAGAAAAUAAAAAGGGCCACGUAUCUGUUGAAUUGAACUGAGAUGUGAGAAAUUUCGCUGUAAACUAAUAACUAUUGUUAUUAUUCUAUAAUAUUUUGAGUGUUUACUAAGGGCUCUUUUCUAAGCCUUUAAGGUACAUUAUUCAGUUAAGCUUUUACAAAUAAAGAAACUGAGGUUCAAGGAUAUCCAGCUAGGAAGUGGCAAAGGCAAGAUUUGCAUCCAGGGCCCCCCCCCAAAAAAUUUAAAAAUUAAGUAGCUGGGCCUGGGGGGGGGGUCCACGCCUAUAAUCUGAGUACUCUGGGAGGCCAAAGCAAGAGGAUCGCUGAGAGUUGGAGGCCAGCCUGAAUUACAGAGCAAGACCCUGUCUCAAAACAGCAAACCAAAAAAAAAAAAAUUAAAGAAAAAAGAAAAAAAGAUUUGUACCCAGCAAACUGACUCCAGGCCACUCUGUUAACCUUUAUAAAUAAACUUAAAAUAGAGAGAGGAAGUCUCCCAUAUUAGAACUUAACAUUUGUUCCCCUUCCUCUGUUAGAUUUUUAAAUAUUACACAUCAAAUACGACAUACUACUCAGCUCCUGAUUUCAAAGUUUCUUCCUAUUAAGGACUGGUUAUCACCCCGAUCUUUUUCUUCUUUCUUUUUUCUCUGUGCUCUACUUCCUCAACACUCUUCCUUUAACCCAAGUGGCUGUCUCAGACCAGGAAGAUUAAGAAGCCAUGAAUAACUCUUCUGUAAAUUAUUCUACAGGAAGUUCAGCCUGAUCCAAUCCAGCUUGUCAGUGGUGAAGGCUUUGUCAGGGGUUUCUCAGCAGAGCAGGACUGGGUCAGCUCCUGCUGGCCCCCUCCUUGUGCAAGAGACCCUGCAGGAAGUGCUUAAACCGCAAUCUUAAACCAUGAGUCAUUGAUCAACUCCCCUACUUUUUUAUUUUGAGGCAAAGCCUCACUACAUUGUUAAAUUGCCAAGACUGGGCUGGAACUUGAGGUCUUCCUACCUCAGUCUCCCGGAGUGCUGGGAUUACAGGUGUCCACCACCAUGCUAGACUCCUAUUUUUUGUUUGUUUAUUUAUUUUAUUUGUUUUGUGUUUUUUGGAGACAGGGUCUCACUGUGUAGUUCAGGCUGGCUUUGAACUCACUAUGUGGCCCAGGCUGGCCUCAAACUCAUAUCAAUCUUCCUGCCUCAGCCUCCCGAGUGCUGGGAUUACAGGUAUGUGCCACCACACCUGGCUCCAAAUUUUUAUAUUCCAUUAUUAUUUUUUUAAUUGUUCCCAGGGAAUAACUCCAGGGCCUCAUACAUGCUGGGCAAGCACUCUACCACUGAGGUAUACCGCAAAGCCCACUAUAUAUUACUUUUUUUUCUUUCAGUACCGGGGAUUGAACUCAGGUCCUUGCGCUUUUGAGGCAGGCAGCAUAACCACUGAGCUAAAUCCUCAGCCCCUAACUAUAUAUUACUGAAUCUCUGCUGUGUGAUGGGAGGAAAAAAGGGAGGAGAGCAGUUUUCCAGUGCUUCCUAGUGUGAGUACUGUGUUAACGAUGUGUGCUGAGCUGCAGCCACAGUGCCUAUAAAUGAAGGAGUCCUGCAGGCCGGAGUGACUCUGCCCCUUCCCACCAGUGUGACUCUGAGAAGUCCCUUAACUUCUCUGUGCCUCAGUUUCCCCAUUAGUAAGGAGCAAAAUAAUAACUCUGCAUAUGUGCAUGAUACACAGUGUUGUUUUAUAUGUUACAAAAUCACAUACAGUGCAUAUACAUAUGUACAUGUAUGUAAUAUGUACCAGUAAGCAGAACAUGUAAUGUGUACACGUGCAGCAUAUAUAUUUAUAGUAAAUAGUAACAUAUAAGGACUAUUGUGGUUUUUAUUCUUUUUUUAUUAGUAUGUGUUUGCAAUCCAAAAUAAUUACGUUCAUCUUGGGGAAAUGGUACAUGCAUAUAUCAAAAUGAUUGUGUUGAUAUUUAACCAUUUCAGUAUUGUAUUCCAAUAUAUAAUGACUAUUAUGCUGCAGUAUUUUUCUAUUAUAUAAUAGAUAUUUAUAUAUUAGAAAACAUAAUACAAAAUACAAUAUACCUAAUAAUAAGAUAGAUAAAUAUCUGUCAUAUUAAAUAUGUAAACCUUGUAGUAUCUGCCAUAGAGCAAUGACAGUUAAUGUUUCUUCUUCUCAUUAUUAGCCAUUCUUUUUUUUUUUUUUUUUUUUUGGUACUGGGGAUUGAACUCAGGUCCUUGUGCUUGCGCAGCAGGCGGCGAAACCACUGAGCUAAAUCCCCAGCCUCUUCUCAUUAUUAUCGUGGUAGUUUUAUUUUAUUUGUUUUGCUGAGCCAGGAAUUGAACUCAGGACCUUGCACUUGCAAGGCAGGCACAGUGCCACUGAGCUAAAUCCCCAGCCCUUCUUCUCAUUAUUAUCAUUAGCACUGACAGACCAGAGUGCCCUAACCUCACUAACUACCCCAUGCUGCUGGAAAUGGACCCUCACACUUGGAGAAGUCCUGGUCCCAGCUGUAAUCCUUAUAUAGCUUUUUUUUUUUUCAGAGACAGGGUCUCACUUUUUAACUUAUUAUGUACCCAGACUAGCUUUGAACUUGCAGCAAUCCUCUUGCCUCAGCUUCCCAAGUGCUACGAAUUAUAUGUGUGCACUACCAUCCACAGCUCAAAUAAAAAAAUUUUUUCAAAUAAAAAUAUUUUUAGGGCCGGGGAUUUAGCUCAGUGGUUCCAGUGCCUGCUUCACAAGGGAAAAGUUCUGAGUUCGAUCCCCGGUACCAAAAAAAAAAAAAUUGAUUCCAAAAAUAUUUUUUAAAGGGAUGGGGAUGUAGCUCAGUGUGAAGGCUCUGGGUUCAAUUCCAAACACCAAACGAAAAAGAAUAAUAAGAAGAAAAUAAAACAGCCUUGACCACAAUUUCCAGUCUCACGCACCUCCCUAGAAAUAACUACUUUUGAAAACUUGAGGUAACUCUUUCUAGAAUUCUUUGUAUGCAUUUACACAGAUGUAUAUGUAAUCAUAAAAAGUAUAUAGGAAUCCCUGUAAUCCCAGCAAUUGGGAGGCUAAGUCAGGAGGAUUGCCAUGAGUUCAAGGCCAGCCUGAGCUCCAUAGUGAGUUCAAGGCCAGCCUGUACUACAUAGUGAGACCCUGUCUCAAGAAACAAACAAACAAACAAAAACCCCUAUAACAUCAUAGCCCACACUUUUGCACACACCUGUAAUUCCAGCAUUUAGGCAGCUGAGACAGAUUGAGAAUUUCAGGCCAGCCUGAGCUGCAAAGAAACCCUGUUCCGAAACAAAAACCAUAACAUUGUAAUCCAGUGUCACAUAACAUAACAAUGACAAAGAAACAAAGUGGCAAAUGCUUGGGUUUGCCAGUCACGGGUUCCUGGGCCCAAACUUGCCUCUUUCCUGGGAGGAACACAGCUUCCCACAGGAGGACGAUCAACCCUCCAGCUGCUGAGUUUCAGGAAGUGGCUCCCAGGUCACAAGAGCCCCUGUCAGGGCAUUAGCACUUGUUCGCACUCUCUCCAGCGCACAGCCAGGAACCUACUAAUUCCCUCUUUCAUUAAGGCCAAUCAUCAUCAUCAUUAAUUAACAGCCACUGUGGAAAUGUAAGAGAGGGUUCUGAAUCAAAGAUAGAAACCAGUAGAAGGAAACAAUCCCAGCUGGCUCAGAACCCUGCGGGCCAGGAACACAGGCCCAUGGACCAUGAGAGGACAGGAGGAUGUGUGGGACCCGAGGAAAGGCGAGGGACCUCCCUCUCCGUGCUGCAUGUGGGAUGGGCUGACCCGUGUCUAAGACUGUCGCUGACUGCGUGCGAUAUUCUACCGUUUUCCCCAGGCUAUUCUGCUUUUGCCAUUAAAAAAUAGUUCAAUUUGUUCUCUUGUCUGGAAAACAAUGGUGUACUGACAUCAGUUUAUAUAUAUGGUAUAUCGCCAAUUCCACCCAUGGCAUUGUUCUGGCCUCACUGUUGGGACAUCAGGGGUCCUAGGAAGCAACAUCCUCUUCCUCACUUGAACUCAGGGUAGACUGAAAAGUCCCCAGUGAAGUUGAUUAGAUUCUGUGGCUUUCCAUGAGUGGAAAAGAAGCUCGUCACCACCCUGGGUGUGGGUGACCUCAUUCACCACGUGAACGACCCAGUGAGAAGCCCUUGGUAGAGGGGAACUGGGACUCCUUAGACCCUGAAUCUGAGGACACCUGAUCUUGGGCUCCCCAGCUCCGCAACAGUAAGGAGAAAUAAGUAAUAAAUGUUCAUUGUUCACGAGCCCCCUGGUUGGUGGUGUUUGGUGACAGCAACCUAUGUCACUCAGCUUUCGGUCACUGUGACAAGAACGCCUGAGAUGAUCAGCUGACAAGGAGGACAACUGUACUGCGCCUCAGUGCCAGAGGGCUCAGUCCAUGGUCACUUGGGCCUGUGGUGACACAGUAUGUGACAGCAGGAGCACGUGGCAGUGGAGGCUGGGAGGCAGAGACAGACAGGAAGGGGCCCACAAUGACCUAACUUCCUCUCACUCGGGCUCCCUCCUUCCCUCCUCUCCCCUUUCCUCUCCUAGGACCUAGAGCCUCAUGCAUGCUUGGCAGGAGCUCUACUAAUAAGCUACAUCCCCACAACUUUUUUUUUUUUUGGUACUGGGCAUUGAACUCGGGUCCUUGUGCUUGCACAGCCACAACUUUUUAUUUCUUUUUUUUUUUCACCCAAGGCAAGGCUUUAUUGGGAAAGAGCUACCAGGCUGCCUCGAACAAUGGUGAGUUAAUUCACAUUUUGAGACAAGGUCAAGCUAAGAUGUCUAGGGCAGCCCCAAAAUUGAGUUCUUCCUGCUUUAGCCUCCCAAGUUGUGGCUCUCCUCCUCCUCCUCCUCCUUUUUUUUUUCCUGGACUUAUUUUGGGAUCUUUCUGCCUCAGCUUCCCAGAGUACUGGGAUUACAGUCAUGCACCACAGCACCCAGAGAGCCCAUCUCUUAAAGGUCCUAAGGGCCGGGGAUUUAGCUCAGUGGUUCCGCUGCCUGCUUUGCAAGCACAAGGUCCCGAGUUCGAUCCCCGGUACCAAAAAAAAAAAAAUUUAAAGCCAUUAAAGGUCCUACUACUCCAUAGGGCCACAGGCUGGCAACCAAGCCUUCAACAUGUAGGCCUUGAAAGACACUCAAGAUCUGAGCUAUAGCACAACCAAGAUUCCCUCUGAGAGAGACAGGCAUUUCUCACCUCACACAAGAGCCGCAAUGGGCACUACUGUAAAAUAGUGUGCUGCUAUGCCAGUGGUAGCCUCAUGUAUCUCAUGUUUAACUGCAUAUUUGGAUAAUCUCAAGGGGCCAUCACAGAUGACUGACGUGUACCUUCUCAGUUUGCACUUAGAAGUUGGCACACUGUGUGGUACUUGGCGAUACACAUGGAUGAAAUUGCCUAAUAACAUAUUUCUCAGAUUAUAUUUCCAUUACAUGUCACAUGACUGUAUUGAAAUUUAAAUCAAAAAACAUUUGGCCUAUGUGGAGUCUACUAGUUAAUUAGAAUUUUUUCCAGACCACUAUUUGUCCAAUAUUAGUUUUGAAAAUCUUUCUAAAAUAAAUCACAUCUUCUGAUGUCUCGUUAAUGCUUAAGAUUUUUUUUUUAAUUAUGUGGAAAAAUGUUUAAGUACUUUUCAGUUUUACUUUGGUUGAGUUCUAUUUUGAAUAUUAUUAUAGGGCUGGGGAUUUAGCUCAGUGGUUCCACCGCCUGCUUUGCAAUUGCAAGGUCCCAAGUUUGAUCCCCAGUACCAAAAGAAAAAAAAAGUUAUACAGUCUACGGCCAUACCACCCUGAAUGCACCCGAUCUUGCCUGACUAUUAUUAUAGGGUUUUUUUCCCUUGCAUUGUUUUUCUCUGAAUAAUUUUAAUUUUUGUAUAUGUGUGUGUUUAGUAAAUGAUAAUAAAGUUAUACCAAAAAAAAAAAGAGUCACAAUGGGCACGUUGGCCCCCGCCUGUGGUUCCAGCCCCCCAGAGGCUGAGCAGGAGGAGCUUGGGUUCUAGGCCAGCCUGGAUGACUUAGAAAAAUCCUAUCUCAAAAGGACUAGAGAUGGAGUUCAGUUGUGGGGUGCUUGUCUAGCUUGUCUUCCGUCCCCAGCACCCCACACACUCACAAAGUCUCAAGAAAGAAACAUGAGCCUGAUGUGGCUAGUCCUGAUUUCUUCAGACUAAAAAUUCUGAGGACAUGAGUUUCAGAAAGACAUUGACCUGACUUGCUGGUGGACUUGGGCUUUGUCCUGGGAGACAGAGGGAUGUCGUGAUCUGCAGUGCUGUGCACUGUACUUCAGCCUCCACCAUCCAGUAGGAAGGUGCUUCUCGUGUCCCUUGUGGUUGCGGGGAGCCAUGUGACUGAGUGGCCAAGGUGACCUGUAAGUGGAGCAACGCGUCACUUCCGGUUGAGUAUUUGCACACAUGGCCCGCUCAGGACUUUCCAGAACAGCCUUCUGCCUGGGUUGGGUCAUUAGCAGUGUCCAAGAUGACAGCUGCU